UACGGGGGGAGCAAGCGUUGUUCGGAUUUACUGGGCGUAAAGGGCGCGUAGGCGGUCGUGACAAGUCACUUGUGAAAUCUCCGGGCUUAACUCGGAACGGUCAAGUGAUACUGUCGGACUAGAGUACAGAAGGGGCAACUGGAAUACUCGGUGUAGCGGUGAAAUGCGUAGAUAUCGAGAGGAACACCUGCGGCGAAGGCGGGUUGCUGGGCUGAUACUGACGCUGAGGCGCGAAAGCCAGGGGAGCGAACGGG
RNAcentral lists this ribosomal RNA (254 nucleotides) under uncultured bacterium. RNAcentral describes it as "partial 16S ribosomal RNA". It matches the Rfam family "Bacterial small subunit ribosomal RNA", at positions 524 to 776 of the family's 1533-position model. The record is from RNAcentral.